AACGCUAGCUACAGGCUUAACACAUGCAAGUCGAGGGGCAUCAGGGUAGCAAUACCGCUGGCGACCGGCGCACGGGUGAGUAACACGUAUCCAACCUACCGUUAACUCGGGGAUAGCCUUUCGAAAGAAAGAUUAAUACCCGAUGGUAUAAAGAGUUCGCAUGUUCUCUUUAUUAAAGAAUUUCGGUAAGCGAUGGGGAUGCGUUCCAUUAGAUUGUUGGCGGGGUAACGGCCCACCAAGUCUACGAUGGAUAGGGGUUCUGAGAGGAAGGUCCCCCACAUUGGAACUGAGACACGGUCCAAACUCCUACGGGAGGCAGCAGUGAGGAAUAUUGGUCAAUGGACGCGAGUCUGAACCAGCCAAGUAGCGUGAAGGAUGACUGCCCUAUGGGUUGUAAACUUCUUUUAUAAGGGAAUAAAGUGAGGGACGUGUCCCUUUUUGUAUGUACCUUAUGAAUAAGGAUCGGCUAACUCCGUGCCAGCAGCCGCGGUAAUACGGAGGAUCCGAGCGUUAUCCGGAUUUAUUGGGUUUAAAGGGAGCGUAGGUUGACAUAUAAGUCAGCUGUGAAAGUUUACGGCUCAACCGUGAAAUUGCAGUUGAUACUGUAUGUCUUGAGUGUACAAGAGGUGGGCGGAAUUCGUGGUGUAGCGGUGAAAUGCUUAGAUAUCACGAAGAACUCCGAUUG
Molecule: ribosomal RNA, 685 nt
Filed under: uncultured bacterium
Lineage: Bacteria
Description: bacterial SSU rRNA
Rfam family: Bacterial small subunit ribosomal RNA
Source: RNAcentral